Molecule: ribosomal RNA, 497 nt
Filed under: uncultured bacterium
Lineage: Bacteria
Description: partial 16S ribosomal RNA
Rfam family: Bacterial small subunit ribosomal RNA
Source: RNAcentral
GAUGAACGCUGGCGGCGUGCCUAAUACAUGCAAGUCGAGCGAACAGACGAUGAUCUUGCUCCUCUGUCGUUAGCGGCGCACGUGUGAGUAACACGUGUAUAACCUACCUAUAAUACUGGUAUAACUUCGGGAAACCGGAGCUAAUACCGGAUAAUAUAUUGAACCGCAUGGUUGAAUAGUGAAAGACGGUUUUGCUGUCACUUAUCGAUGCAUCCGCGCCGCAUUAGCUAGUUGGUAGGUUAACGGCCUACCAAGGCGACGAUGCGUAGCCGACCUGAGAGAGGGAUCGCCGACAUGGGAGGUGAGACAGGGUCCAGAGUCCUGAGGGACGCCGCAGUAGGGAACGGUCCGCAGCAGGGGGGAGCAUGACGGAGCAGGGGCGAGUGAGAGAUGAAGGUCUUGCGAGCGGAAUGCUGUGCUAUUAGGGAUAAACCAAUGUGUAAGUAACUAUGGACGGCGUGACGGUACCUGGUCAGAAAGCAACGGCUAACUACGUG